CGUGCUUACACAUGCAAGUCGAACGAUGAACCUCACUUGUGGGGGGAUUAGUGGCGAACGGGUGAGUAACACGUGAGUAACCUGCCCUUGACUCUGGGAUAAGCCUGGGAAACCGGGUCUAAUACUGGAUACGACCUUCUGGCGCAUGCCAUGUUGGUGGAAAGCUUUUGUGGUUUUGGAUGGACUCGCGGCCUAUCAGCUUGUUGGUGGGGUAAUGGCCUACCAAGGCGACGACGGGUAGCCGGCCUGAGAGGGUGACCGGCCACACUGGGACUGAGACACGGCCCAGACUCCUACGGGAGGCAGCAGUGGGGAAUAUUGCACAAUGGGCGCAAGCCUGAUGCAGCGACGCCGCGUGAGGGAUGAAGGCCUUCGGGUUGUAAACCUCUUUCAGUAGGGAAGAAGCCGGCCUUUUGGGUUGGUGACGGUACCUGCAGAAGAAGCGCCGGCUAACUACGUGCCAGC
RNAcentral lists this ribosomal RNA (465 nucleotides) under Arthrobacter sp. Its description in RNAcentral is "bacterial SSU rRNA". It matches the Rfam family "Bacterial small subunit ribosomal RNA", at positions 43 to 512 of the family's 1533-position model. Lineage: Bacteria; Bacillati; Actinomycetota; Actinomycetes; Micrococcales; Micrococcaceae. The record is from RNAcentral.